Molecule: transfer RNA, 69 nt
Filed under: Luciocephalus pulcher (pikehead)
Lineage: Eukaryota; Metazoa; Chordata; Actinopteri; Anabantiformes; Osphronemidae
Description: tRNA-Ala
Rfam family: tRNA
About the family: Transfer RNA (tRNA) molecules are approximately 80 nucleotides in length. Their secondary structure includes four short double-helical elements and three loops (D, anti-codon, and T loops).
Source: RNAcentral
GAGGCUUUAGCUUAAUUAAAGUGUCUGUUUUGCAUACAGGAGAUGUGGGUUAGUGUCCUGCAAGUCUUA